GCUGGGCAUGGUGGCGCAUGCCUGUAGUCCCAGCUACUCAGGAGGCUGAGGCAGGAGAAUCGCUUGAACCCAGAAGGCAGAGGGUGCAGUGAGCUAAGAUCAUGCCACUGCACUCCAGCCUGGGCAACAGAGUGAGACUCCGUCUCUU
RNAcentral lists this non-coding RNA (148 nucleotides) under Homo sapiens (human). The record is from Rfam by way of RNAcentral. Lineage: Eukaryota; Metazoa; Chordata; Mammalia; Primates; Hominidae.